AACCGAGAAUAAGAAGUAACCUUAAUUAUUGAGUAUCUACCAUUCCAGGCCCAGUGUUAACCGCUUUCACAUAGACCUGAAGCCAAAACUGGUCCUUUUUCUUGUUGAGGCACCUCACCUUACCUCACCACUAGGAACCCGAAAAAUAAAACCCGGCCUACAUUUCUCAUAGAAAGGAUCCCAAGGAAAACACCCCAGGAACAAAAAGAGAGUUUACCAUCACCUCCAGGUCCACGGUCACCAGAACCCAUGAUUCUGGAAGCCUAGACCUUUGUUCUUCUUUUAGAUGUAAACCGAAAAUACAAUUCUAAGCCCCCCGUGUCGCCAACCAUCGGAAUGGACUUUCUCCCAGGCCAGGGCACUCUAAAAUUCUGGUUCAGUCCAUGACGGGAAGUGGGGGUCCGACUAGCCUCAUACCUCUCCGGUUAAGGUCAACACAGACCUUCGGUCUGCUUCACAUUACUGGUUUGCUGCGUUGCUGUUCCCCAGACCAAGCAGAAGCAUCUGUAACGUCUGAAGGAAGAACCCAGGCCCGCAGCUCACCCACUACAGAACCUAGGGACCUUAUCCUUCUUCCAGGUAUUUUUGGUGAGUCCAUAGAACAGACACCGUUCCAGGAACUUGAGAUACAUCAGUGAACAGAAUUAAGGUCCUUGACUUCGUUCAGCUUAUGUUCUACCCAGAGAAUUCAGACAAAAACAAUACUCU
RNAcentral lists this long non-coding RNA (708 nucleotides) under Homo sapiens (human). RNAcentral describes it as "HSALNT0296239". The record is from RNAcentral. Lineage: Eukaryota; Metazoa; Chordata; Mammalia; Primates; Hominidae.